RNAcentral lists this ribosomal RNA (253 nucleotides) under uncultured bacterium. Its description in RNAcentral is "partial 16S ribosomal RNA". It matches the Rfam family "Bacterial small subunit ribosomal RNA", at positions 524 to 776 of the family's 1533-position model. The record is from RNAcentral.
UACGGGGGGGGCAAGCGUUGUUCGGAAUUACUGGGCGUAAAGGGCUCGUAGGCGGCCAACUAAGUCAGACGUGAAAUCCCUCGGCUUAACCGGGGAACUGCGUCUGAUACUGGAUGGCUUGAAUCCGGGAGAGGGAUGCGGAAUUCCAGGUGUAGCGGUGAAAUGCGUAGAUAUCUGGAGGAACAUCAGUGGCGAAGGCGGCCUUCUGGACCAGUACUGACGCUGAGGCACGAAAGCGUGGGGAGCAAACAGG